GGAGCAGGUGUCUUCAUUGGAUUUGAACACAUAAUUGAUUAUCAGCAAAGGAGAGAAAUCAGAGGCACUUGAACAAGUUGAAGUGGACAGGAAAACAGUGAAGAGAGAAGAAAGGAGUAUAGUCAACCUACAAACCCAAGCCAAAGAUGCACAGAAUUACGCAGUGUUGGCAUUGCCGAUGCUGUGGGUGCCCCCCUACUUCAGGCCAUGGGUUUGAUUUUGAUGCCUAUCCUUCUGCAGAUGAC
Long non-coding RNA from Lynx canadensis (Canada lynx), 245 nucleotides. RefSeq lists it as uncharacterized. The record is from RefSeq and is a predicted model, not a curated record. The transcript has 3 exons. Lineage: Eukaryota; Metazoa; Chordata; Mammalia; Carnivora; Felidae.